CAGCGCCGCCUCGUGCCGAGGGGACGGAUAGCACGUCGAGAGGAAACAAAAACAGAGAGGCGCAGGAGGGACGGAUGCUAGCGAGAAUAAGACGGGACGUGUCAAUAAUCCUGGAAGAGGAGCAGAAGGCUCUUCAUGGAGGGGUCCUGGCCUGGCCUGUGGAGAUGAGCCAAUAGGCAACUAUAUACGGACCAGGGUUUAUGCUGAUGAAACUCAUCUGCUCCAAGAGGAAAAGGCUUGAAGAUGAUGCUUGUCUGACAUGGAAAAAUAGGAGAUACAAAACCAGGCUGCGGCGCUCCUCCUUUACCAUGAACUGAACCUCCUACACAUCGAUCUGCAGGAGAAACAGAGAGGGAUCUGACCAGAUCGCCAUGGUCUCACAAGCGCUGGAGUCGAUGAAGGCCUGAAAAGUGUGUCGCUGCUCUCCCCAUGAGAGAUAUACAGCUUGAGAGAGACGGGUUCCUCCGAUGUGCAUGGGCUCAGGAUCACUGGACGAGCUGGGAGCAGAACUCCAGGAUGGAGCUGGUACAUCAGCCGAUCUCCGGGCGUGAGGUUGGGUACGGUGGCGCUCACCCAGGCGGUUGCCUAGCUGAAAAGCCAGGGAGACUAAUGUCUCAAAGUCAUUGGGUGUCUCCACGGUAGCCAAUCCAUCCUUCAGGGCAUCAGACAAUCCGUCGUAGAAGACUGAGAUUAGGGCCUGCUCGUCCCAACCACUAUCAGCUGCCAGGGUUCUGAAAGUAAUUGCAUAGUCAGCAGCAC
Molecule: long non-coding RNA, 759 nt
Organism: Gadus morhua (Atlantic cod)
Lineage: Eukaryota; Metazoa; Chordata; Actinopteri; Gadiformes; Gadidae
Source: Ensembl